AUUACCAGCCAUACCAUGUGCAGUUCACCUGAAGCUAAGCAGGUUUGGGCCUGGGCAGUACUUGGAUGGGAGACCAGCUGGGUUGUCCCAUUGUGUGGAUC
This 101-nucleotide ribosomal RNA is filed under the name Paramormyrops kingsleyae. Lineage: Eukaryota; Metazoa; Chordata; Actinopteri; Osteoglossiformes; Mormyridae. The record is from RNAcentral.